GACGAACGCUGGCGGCGUGCCUAAUACAUGCAAGUAGAACGCUGAAGGAGGAGCUUGCUUCUCUGGAUGAGUUGCGAACGGGUGAGUAACGCGUAGGUAACCUGCCUGGUAGCGGGGGAUAACUAUUGGAAACGAUAGCUAAUACCGCAUAAUAGUAGAUGUUGCAUGACAUUUGCUUAAAAGGUGCAAUUGCAUCACUACCAGAUGGACCUGCGUUGUAUUAGCUAGUUGGUGGGGUAACGGCUCACCAAGGCGACGAUACAUAGCCGACCUGAGAGGGUGAUCGGCCACACUGGGACUGAGACACGGCCCAGACUCCUACGGGAGGCAGCAGUAGGGAAUCUUCGGCAAUGGACGGAAGUCUGACCGAGCAACGCCGCGUGAGUGAAGAAGGUUUUCGGAUCGUAAAGCUCUGUUGUAAGAGAAGAAAGAGUGUGAGAGUGGAAAGUUCACACUGUGACGGUAUCUUACCAGAAAGGGACGGCUAACUACGUG
RNAcentral lists this ribosomal RNA (495 nucleotides) under uncultured bacterium. Its description in RNAcentral is "partial 16S ribosomal RNA". It matches the Rfam family "Bacterial small subunit ribosomal RNA", at positions 28 to 507 of the family's 1533-position model. The record is from RNAcentral.